Molecule: long non-coding RNA, 696 nt
Filed under: Gallus gallus (chicken)
Lineage: Eukaryota; Metazoa; Chordata; Aves; Galliformes; Phasianidae
Source: RNAcentral
CUCUCUGCAUCCAGCACAUCUUUCAGAGAGCUCAGAUCCGCUGCCAUCUUCUGGCACUGAUCUCGGAGCACCUGGUUUUGUUGCUCAGCCUCACGUAGCUCCUGCUGCAGCAGUUCCACUGCCUGCGUUUGUCCCAGCAGAGCUUCUUCUCGCUCCUCCAGCUUCCUCUGCAGUGUACGCAGGUUCUGCUGCACCUCUGCUUCCUGAUCUGCCUUGGCUGCUGUUCUCAGCAGUUCAGCUUGGUGCUGGUGAGCCUGCUCCUGGAGGAGAGCUUCCUUCUCCUGAAUUACUUCCUGCAGCGAGCUCAGCUGUGAUGCAUAUUUGACUUCAGCAUCUUUCAGAUUCAUCUUGGCUAAAGCCAGCUGCUCCUUCAGAUCCUUAACAGCCUCUUCUUGCUCCCUGAGCUGCUCUUCCAGACCCUCAGCUUUGUCCCUGUGCUCUUCUCCUGCAUUUUGGCUAUUCUGACACUUAGCACACACUUGCUCUUCUGGCACGGCCUGUGCAGGCAGCAGAGGGCCCUUCUCUGUCAGCUCCUCGAUGCGUUUGUUCAGAGAUGCCAGCUUGGCUUUGGCCUGAAGUUUCAGUUUCAUCAGCUUUGCAUCCGCAGCUUCGCGUUCCUCCUUGAGCACAGUUUCCUUUUGCUGGAGCAGGGCAUCCUUCUCUCGGAUCAAAUCCUUCAGCUGCACAACCAGCUUU